GACGUAGGGCGCGAGCGUUGUCCGGAUUUAUUGGGCGUAAAGAGCUCGUAGGCGGCUUGUCGCGUCGACCGUGAAAACUUGGGGCUCAACCCCAAGCCUGCGGUCGAUACGGGCAGGCUAGAGUUCGGUAGGGGAGACUGGAAUUCCUGGUGUAGCGGUGAAAUGCGCAGAUAUCAGGAGGAACACCGGUGGCGAAGGCGGGUCUCUGGGCCGAUAUUGACGCUGAGGAGCGAAAGCGUGGGGAGCAAACAGG
Molecule: ribosomal RNA, 253 nt
Filed under: uncultured bacterium
Lineage: Bacteria
Description: partial 16S ribosomal RNA
Rfam family: Bacterial small subunit ribosomal RNA
Source: RNAcentral